This 497-nucleotide ribosomal RNA is filed under the name uncultured bacterium. Its description in RNAcentral is "partial 16S ribosomal RNA". It matches the Rfam family "Bacterial small subunit ribosomal RNA", at positions 28 to 507 of the family's 1533-position model. The record is from RNAcentral.
GAUGAACGCUGGCGGCGUGCCUAAUACAUGCAAGUCGAGCGAACAGACGAGGAGCUUGCUCCUUUGACGUUAGCGGCGGACGGGUGAGUAAUACGUGGGUAACCUACCUAUAAGACUGGGAUAACUUCGGGAAACCGGAGCUAAUACCGGAUAAUAUUUCGAACCGCAUGGUUCGAUAGUGAAAGAUGGCUUUGCUAUCACUUAUAGAUGGACCUGCGCCGUAUUAGCUAGUUGGUAAGGUAACGGCUUACCAAGGCAACGAUACGUAGCCGACCUGAGAGGGUGAUCGGCCACACUGGAACUGAGACACGGUCCAGACUCCUACGGGAGGCAGCAGUAGGGAAUCUUCCGCAAUGGGCGAAAGCCUGACGGAGCAACGCCGCGUGAGUGAUGAAGGUCUUCGGAUCGUAAAACUCUGUUAUUAGGGAAGAACAAACGUGUAAGUAACUGUGCACGUCUUGACGGUACCUAAUCAGAAAGCCACGGCUAACUACGUG